UUUUCGACCUGAACUCAGACGUGAAUAC
This 28-nucleotide ribosomal RNA is filed under the name Tylenchorhynchus zeae. RNAcentral describes it as "partial 28S ribosomal RNA". Lineage: Eukaryota; Metazoa; Nematoda; Chromadorea; Rhabditida; Telotylenchidae. The record is from RNAcentral.